Molecule: RNA transcript, 1087 nt
Organism: Cucumis melo (muskmelon)
Lineage: Eukaryota; Viridiplantae; Streptophyta; Magnoliopsida; Cucurbitales; Cucurbitaceae
Gene name: AIG2-like protein D
Exons: 7
Source: RefSeq, a predicted model, not a curated record
AGAACAUAGAGUAAACUUGAAACUAAUAACAAUAAUAAGAAGAAGAAAUGAAAUCCGUAGACAUAUAUAAAUAGAUGGUGGGUUCCGUUCAGUUAGUUUCUUGUAGAAACUAUAAGCAAUUUGAGUGGGAAAUGGAUUCAGCAUCUCUGGCUGCUCGCGCGUCUCUUCAUCCGCAGCAGAAUCUUCACUCUGUCUUCGUCUACGGCUCUCUCAUGGCUGAUGAAGUUCUUCGUAUCCUCUUGAAGCGUACUCCUCAAUCUUCUGAUGCCGUUCUCAAUGGCUAGUUUUGCUGCUUAGUUUAACAUUAGCGUUAUGCGAGAAAGGAUUAUGAUGAGAAAUACUCUUCUACUCUCGGCUCUUUGGUUUGCGAAUCGUGCUGUUAUUUUCUUCUCUUUCAAUCAAUCAAUUCGAGGCUAAAGUCGCAUUGAUGAUGCUAAUUUGUGCUGAUUUCCUGAAGGAGAAUUUCACUCGCCAAAGACUGAGUGUUAAAGGACGUCUUUAUCCAGCGAUCAUACCUGUUACAAGCAAGAAAGUAUCUGGGAAGAUUAUUUCAGGGAUCAAAGACUCUGAAAUGCAUCUCUUAGACGCAUAUGAGGAUUUUGAAUACAAGAGGAUUACAGUUGAGGUCUCUUUAAUGGAUAGUUUGGAGAAGCUAUUAGUUUAUGCUUAUGUUUGGGGCAACGAAAAGGAUCCAAACUUGUAUGGAGACUGGGAUUUUGAGGAGUGGAGGCGAGAUCAUCUGGAAGCAUACAUUGAGAUGGUCGAGGAAUUUAUGGAAGAGUAUGAGCAGCACCCCGGACCCUAAAAUUUUAUGGUCUCCAAUGGAGAAGGAUAGGCGAUGCUAAGAACUAGCUCUCCAAUCUACAGGAGAAGAACCUUCGAAAAUAAAGGGAGAGUAACCCGUUGCAUCUUUGUACCUUUGUUGAAUCUGGGGGAUCAACCAAUAACCCGUACGAUAAGGUCAGUCAGUUUUUAAGGAUUCAUUGAAAAUUUGUGUCAUCCUAUAACUUUGUAAUAUAACAAUCUAUUUAUUCACUUUGACUACUUAUUGAGUCUAGGCAAAAUAUAUUAUUACCACUUGGCAGCA